This is a long non-coding RNA of Stomoxys calcitrans (stable fly), 545 nucleotides long. RefSeq lists it as uncharacterized. The transcript has 2 exons. NCBI's taxonomy places the organism in Eukaryota, Metazoa, Arthropoda, Insecta, Diptera, Muscidae. The record is from RefSeq and is a predicted model, not a curated record.
ACUCCAUCGGGCCAAUCCUGUACGUACAACCGGCUGCCAUGGGAUUGUUGAUUUAAAUCGGCGGACCAGAAAUCGUGAUCCGAGUAGCCAAAGCAUUCAACUUAAUGGUCGUAAGCUGGACGGACAUCCUGCAUGGAGUCAAAAAAAAAGCAAAAAUUUGAUUUUAUAAGCCACGAUAUUAUUUUGUAAAGAAAAUUGUUAAAUCCAUGAAACCUAUCUGUUUUAGUAGCAGUGUGUUGUAUACUCAGGCGGCAGAGGUUGUCGAGAAGUUUCCCCCUGUUCCUUAAUGGAAUGAAUGUUCAUAAGCAAAUUUGCAUUUUGCGAAAACCAUUAAAUGGUCCAGAAAUUGUACUCCCAAAUAUUUUUAAAUGAGUUUGGGGCUUUGUGAAAUGCCGACAUUUCCCCCCAAAAGCUGUGUUUCCCUUUGCCAAAUACCUCUUGAAAACUACGUUUUAUUAUCAAAAAAUGCUAUUCCCACUAAUUUUAUACAAGAUUGUAAAGACUUGUUGUAUGUGAAGAUGUGAAUAAAUGAAAAUUAAACUAAA